Molecule: ribosomal RNA, 434 nt
Filed under: uncultured Lachnospiraceae bacterium
Lineage: Bacteria; Bacillati; Bacillota; Clostridia; Lachnospirales; Lachnospiraceae
Description: partial 16S ribosomal RNA
Rfam family: Bacterial small subunit ribosomal RNA
Source: RNAcentral
ACGGGAGGCAGCAGUGGGGAAUAUUGGACAAUGGAGGAAACUCUGAUCCAGCGACGCCGCGUGAGUGAAGAAGUAUUUCGGUAUGUAAAGCUCUAUCAGCAGGGAAGAUAAUGACGGUACCUGACUAAGAAGCCCCGGCUAACUACGUGCCAGCAGCCGCGGUAAUACGUAGGGGGCAAGCGUUAUCCGGAUUUACUGGGUGUAAAGGGAGCGUAGACGGCUUUGCAAGUCUGAUGUGAAAGCCCGGGGCUUAACCCCGGGACUGCAUUGGAAACUGUAGAGCUUGAGUGCAGGAGAGGUAAGUGGAAUUCCUAGUGUAGCGGUGAAAUGCGUAGAUAUUAGGAGGAACACCAGUGGCGAAGGCGGCUUACUGGACUGUAACUGACGUUGAGGCUCGAAGGCGUGGGGAGCAAACAGGAUUAGAUACCCUGGUA